Molecule: ribosomal RNA, 334 nt
Filed under: Pseudomonas sp. MB-01
Lineage: Bacteria; Pseudomonadati; Pseudomonadota; Gammaproteobacteria; Pseudomonadales; Pseudomonadaceae
Description: partial 16S ribosomal RNA
Rfam family: Bacterial small subunit ribosomal RNA
Source: RNAcentral
CGCGUAGGGUGGUUUUGNUAAGUUUNGNUGUGAAAGCCCCGGGCUCAACCUGGGAACUGCNUUCNNNNCUGGCNAGCUAGAGUACGGUAGAGGGUGGUGGAAUUUCCUGUGUAGCGGUGAAAUGCGUANAUAUAGGAAGGAACACCAGNGGCGAAGGCGACCACCUGGACUGAUACUGACACUGAGGUGCGAAAGCGUGGGGAGCAAACAGGAUUAUAUACCCUGGUAGUCCACGCCGUANANNAUGUCAACUAGCCGUUGGAAUCCUUGAGAUUUUAGUGGCGCANCUAACGCAUUAAUUUGACCGCCUGGGGAGUACGGCCGCAAGGUUAAU